Long non-coding RNA from Gossypium arboreum, 323 nucleotides. RefSeq lists it as uncharacterized. Lineage: Eukaryota; Viridiplantae; Streptophyta; Magnoliopsida; Malvales; Malvaceae. The record is from RefSeq and is a predicted model, not a curated record. The transcript has 2 exons.
UUUUAAUAAAAGAAAAAGGGGUGAAAAGAACAAAGUUUUGUCCAUCUUUGUUCAUCAUAGCCUAAAGUUAGAGAAGAGAAAGGAGAGGAGAAAGCUCUUGAAUGUUCGGUCACUUGGGGAAGAAAAUUGAAGGAAAUCCCCAACCAUAGUGGGCUUGGAGCUGUGAGGGAAUUCGGAGUGGCCACCCGUUCUAAAAGUUUGAUUUUCUUCUGGUGAACUGGACAUCCUAUUAUUUAUGUUGAGGUUUGGGUUUUUAAAUGUAAUAAGGCCGCUUAAUUAUUUUUGAUGGUUUUAAUAUGUAUUACUAAGAUAGGUAUUACUUA